AUCAGGCCCCUGCUCAUUGCCAAGUGCACAGAGUUCACUCUUUCUUUCUGACCCGAGACACUGAGCAGAGAGACACGGUGCUACCAGGCUGAUGAGCUUCGGAAUAAACGUGGUUCUGAGAAUUCAUGAGAGGAGCCAUUAUAACAAGCGAGCCCUCUGGGAAGAAAUGCUCCGGUUGUUUCUUUUUCCGGUGUGGAUUAGGAACGAGAUUUCCGAGCCUUGGAGGUUCGGUGGCGAGCCAGAAGGACAUGGACAGGGACGGAGAGGUGCACAGCGUGGCCAUUUGUGGGAUAUGCUUUAACCUGGACAUUCACUUACUUUCUCACAGAUAAGGAACAAAACACACAAUCUACCCGGGUAGUAAAAAACUGAACUGAACACACUGAACACUUACACACUGGACCCUGGACAAUAAAACAUUUUUAUUUUUUGUUUCUAUG
Long non-coding RNA from Mugil cephalus (flathead mullet), 440 nucleotides. RefSeq lists it as uncharacterized. NCBI's taxonomy places the organism in Eukaryota, Metazoa, Chordata, Actinopteri, Mugiliformes, Mugilidae. The transcript has 2 exons. The record is from RefSeq and is a predicted model, not a curated record.